RNAcentral lists this ribosomal RNA (253 nucleotides) under uncultured bacterium. RNAcentral describes it as "partial 16S ribosomal RNA". It matches the Rfam family "Bacterial small subunit ribosomal RNA", at positions 524 to 776 of the family's 1533-position model. The record is from RNAcentral.
UACGGGGGGGGCAAGCGUUGUUCGGAAUUACUGGGCGUAAAGGGUUCGUAGGCGGCCAACUUAGUCAGACGUGAAAUCCCUCAGCUUAACUGGGGAACUGCGUCUGAUACUGGAUGGCUCGAGUGCAGGAGAGGAACGCGGAAUUCCAGGUGUAGCGGUGAAAUGCGUAGAUAUCUGGAGGAACACCGGUGGCGAAGGCGGCGUUCUGGACUGCAACUGACACUGAGGAACGAAAGCCAGGGGAGCAAACGGG